Molecule: long non-coding RNA, 233 nt
Filed under: Phoenix dactylifera (date palm)
Lineage: Eukaryota; Viridiplantae; Streptophyta; Magnoliopsida; Arecales; Arecaceae
Description: long non-coding RNA (PDAC_LNC021486)
Source: RNAcentral
AUGAGUUGAGUCUUGUUUCUCUUGUGAGAGAGUCGGCCAUAAGGCUUGGGCUAUUGGAGGGUUUGGCCUUCAAUAGAUUUCGGUCCUUAGAUCUUGUGUUCUAGGACUUGGGCUAGUGGUAGAUCCAUCAAUCUCCACUAGAUUGGGCUAGGAAGAUAUCUCUCAAUCUCCUGCUAGAUUUCUUUUGCUUUCUUUGUUCUUGUCAUUUGCUUUCAAUUUAGAGGAAUAUAAAU